AUGAAAACAGGAGAAACAUAUGCCAUUGAGUUUAUCAGUGAAACCGGCAAGCCCCUACAGCACACCUCAAAGUUUAUCAACCAAUGCGGAGUCGUUGUUAGAGACAACGUCCCGAUCACCGUCCAGGAAUGGAAGGAGCCAAAGAAGGCACGUAUUGGUUUCAGUUUUGUCGACAAGAGAACGAAAAAGGAUUGCUGGAGAAAGCUUAUGGAACAUUUCAUUCUACCUCCGGAAUACAACAAAGUCGAUGAAUUCGGUAACGAGGUUCCGGGUGGAUGUCAGAGGAGGAGGCUAGUUGAAGAGUUCGCUCUUCAGAAGAUGGGCGAAGCAUUCCGGAACUUCAAGAAAAAUUUAACCCGUGACUAUGUCAACAAGGGCAAGACUCCGGAUUUCAAUGGACAACAUGAGAAACUGAAAGAUGAUUGGCCAGAAUUUGUGAGGCAAAAGCAAUCGGAGCAUUUCAAGGAAAUAUCGAAAAAAAAUAAGGAUAAUGCGAGUAAGAAAAAGUUCCAUCAUAUUAUGGGGCCAGGAGGAUACCGUCUUUUGGAGCCUAGGUGGCAGAAGAUGGAGGAGGACCUGAGGGUGCGAGGAAUCCCUCUAGGUACAGAGGGAUGGGACCCAAGGGCCAAAAGCUGGUGGUACGGGCAUGGGGGAUCACUAGACCCGGAGACAGGGGUGUGUGUUCACCGGCAGAGACAGUUUGCUCCCACCCAAGCCCUUAUUGACGCAAUGACCCAAGCUCAAGAGGGCUUGAUCAAGUUCAACAGAGAGAAAGACGCACUGACAAUAGCCCUCGGGAAUGAUGAACACGGAGGACGUGUACGAGGCAAAGGCAAAGUUCCGUGGAAAGUAGGGUUUUCCCAGGACAAUGACCGUACUGUUACAGAAGCCGUAAGAGAAAGACGGACCGGGAUGCAGAUCUUAUGA
RNAcentral lists this ribosomal RNA (927 nucleotides) under Triticum aestivum (bread wheat). Its description in RNAcentral is "partial small subunit ribosomal RNA". Lineage: Eukaryota; Viridiplantae; Streptophyta; Magnoliopsida; Poales; Poaceae. The record is from RNAcentral.